This 2588-nucleotide ribosomal RNA is filed under the name Escherichia coli. Its description in RNAcentral is "partial 23S ribosomal RNA". It matches the Rfam family "Bacterial large subunit ribosomal RNA", at positions 354 to 2925 of the family's 2925-position model. Lineage: Bacteria; Pseudomonadati; Pseudomonadota; Gammaproteobacteria; Enterobacterales; Enterobacteriaceae. The record is from RNAcentral.
GCGAUACAGGGUGACAGCCCCGUACACAAAAAUGCACAUACUGUGAGCUCGAUGAGUAGGGCGGGACACGUGGUAUCCUGUCUGAAUAUGGGGGGACCAUCCUCCAAGGCUAAAUACUCCUGACUGACCGAUAGUGAACCAGUACCGUGAGGGAAAGGCGAAAAGAACCCCGGCGAGGGGAGUGAAAAAGAACCUGAAACCGUGUACGUACAAGCAGUGGGAGCCUCUUAAUGGGGUGACUGCGUACCUUUUGUAUAAUGGGUCAGCGACUUAUAUUCUGUAGCAAGGUUAACCGAAUAGGGGAGCCGAAGGGAAACCGAGUCUUAACUGGGCGUUAAGUUGCAGGGUAUAGACCCGAAACCCGGUGAUCUAGCCAUGGGCAGGUUGAAGGUUGGGUAACACUAACUGGAGGACCGAACCGACUAAUGUUGAAAAAUUAGCGGAUGACUUGUGGCUGGGGGUGAAAGGCCAAUCAAACCGGGAGAUAGCUGGUUCUCCCCGAAAGCUAUUUAGGUAGCGCCUCGUGAAUUCAUCUCCGGGGGUAGAGCACUGUUUCGGCAAGGGGGUCAUCCCGACUUACCAACCCGAUGCAAACUGCGAAUACCGGAGAAUGUUAUCACGGGAGACACACGGCGGGUGCUAACGUCCGUCGUGAAGAGGGAAACAACCCAGACCGCCAGCUAAGGUCCCAAAGUCAUGGUUAAGUGGGAAACGAUGUGGGAAGGCCCAGACAGCCAGGAUGUUGGCUUAGAAGCAGCCAUCAUUUAAAGAAAGCGUAAUAGCUCACUGGUCGAGUCGGCCUGCGCGGAAGAUGUAACGGGGCUAAACCAUGCACCGAAGCUGCGGCAGCGACACUAUGUGUUGUUGGGUAGGGGAGCGUUCUGUAAGCCUGUGAAGGUGUACUGUGAGGUAUGCUGGAGGUAUCAGAAGUGCGAAUGCUGACAUAAGUAACGAUAAAGCGGGUGAAAAGCCCGCUCGCCGGAAGACCAAGGGUUCCUGUCCAACGUUAAUCGGGGCAGGGUGAGUCGACCCCUAAGGCGAGGCCGAAAGGCGUAGUCGAUGGGAAACAGGUUAAUAUUCCUGUACUUGGUGUUACUGCGAAGGGGGGACGGAGAAGGCUAUGUUGGCCGGGCGACGGUUGUCCCGGUUUAAGCGUGUAGGCUGGUUUUCCAGGCAAAUCCGGAAAACCAAGGCUGAGGCGUGAUGACGAGGCACUACGGUGCUGAAGCGACAAAUGCCCUGCUUCCAGGAAAAGCCUCUAAGCAUCAGGUAACAUUAAAUCGUACCCCAAACCGACACAGGUGGUCAGGUAGAGAAUACCAAGGCGCUUGAGAGAACUCGGGUGAAGGAACUAGGCAAAAUGGUGCCGUAACUUCGGGAGAAGGCACGCUGAUAUGUAGGUGAAGCGACUUGCUCGUGGAGCUGAAAUCAGUCGAAGAUACCAGCUGGCUGCAACUGUUUAUUAAAAACACAGCACUGUGCAAACACGAAAGUGGACGUAUACGGUGUGACGCCUGCCCGGUGCCGGAAGGUUAAUUGAUGGGGUUAGCGGUAACGCGAAGCUCUUGAUCGAAGCCCCGGUAAACGGCGGCCGUAACUAUAACGGUCCUAAGGUAGCGAAAUUCCUUGUCGGGUAAGUUCCGACCUGCACGAAUGGCGUAAUGAUGGCCAGGCUGUCUCCACCCGAGACUCAGUGAAAUUGAACUCGCUGUGAAGAUGCAGUGUACCCGCGGCAAGACGGAAAGACCCCGUGAACCUUUACUAUAGCUUGACACUGAACAUUGAGCCUUGAUGUGUAGGAUAGGUGGGAGGCUUUGAAGUGUGGACGCCAGUCUGCAUGGAGCCGACCUUGAAAUACCACCCUUUAAUGUUUGAUGUUCUAACGUGGGCCCCUUACCGGGGUUGCGGACAGUGUCUGGUGGGUAGUUUGACUGGGGCGGUCUCCUCCUAAAGAGUAACGGAGGAGCACGAAGGUUGGCUAAUCCUGGUCGGACAUCAGGAGGUUAGUGCAAUGGCAUAAGCCAGCUUGACUGCGAGCGUGACGGCGCGAGCAGGUGCGAAAGCAGGUCAUAGUGAUCCGGUGGUUCUGAAUGGAAGGGCCAUCGCUCAACGGAUAAAAGGUACUCCGGGGAUAACAGGCUGAUACCGCCCAAGAGUUCAUAUCGACGGCGGUGUUUGGCACCUCGAUGUCGGCUCAUCACAUCCUGGGGCUGAAGUAGGUCCCAAGGGUAUGGCUGUUCGCCAUUUAAAGUGGUACGCGAGCUGGGUUUAGAACGUCGUGAGACAGUUCGGUCCCUAUCUGCCGUGGGCGCUGGAGAACUGAGGGGGGCUGCUCCUAGUACGAGAGGACCGGAGUGGACGCAUCACUGGUGUUCGGGUUGUCAUGCCAAUGGCACUGCCCGGUAGCUAAAUGCGGAAGAGAUAAGUGCUGAAAGCAUCUAAGCACGAAACUUGCCCCGAGAUGAGUUCUCCCUGACUCCUUGAGAGUCCUGAAGGAACGUUGAAGACGACGACGUUGAUAGGCCGGGUGUGUAAGCGCAGCGAUGCGUUGAGCUAACCGGUACUAAUGAACCGUGAGGCUUAACCUU